CCAAAUCGUCCUGAAGAUACUGGCCUCUUCUGAGUUCAAAAGCUAAGCAAGAUUGGUGCUGAUUAAUCCUUGGGUGGGAGGCCAUCAGGAACUACCAGGGG
RNAcentral lists this ribosomal RNA (101 nucleotides) under Pogona vitticeps (central bearded dragon). The record is from RNAcentral. Lineage: Eukaryota; Metazoa; Chordata; Lepidosauria; Squamata; Agamidae.